UACGAAGGGGGCUAGCGUUGUUCGGAAUUACUGGGCGUAAAGCGCACGUAGGCGGAUAUUUAAGUCGGGGGUGAAAUCCCGGGGCUCGACCCCGGAACUGCCUUCGAUACUGGGUAUCUUGAGUUCGGAAGAGGUGAGUGGAAUUGCGAGUGUAGAGGUGAAAUUCGUAGAUAUUCGCAGGAACACCAGUGGCGAAGGCGGCUCACUGGUCCGAUACUGACGCUGAGGUGCGAAAGCGUGGGGAGCAAACAGG
This 253-nucleotide ribosomal RNA is filed under the name uncultured bacterium. Its description in RNAcentral is "partial 16S ribosomal RNA". It matches the Rfam family "Bacterial small subunit ribosomal RNA", at positions 524 to 776 of the family's 1533-position model. The record is from RNAcentral.